AGGGGUUCUGAGAGGAUGAUCCCCCACACUGGUACUGAGACACGGACCAGACUCCUACGGGAGGCAGCAGUGAGGAAUAUUGGUCAAUGGGCGAAAGCCUGAACCAGCCAUGCCGCGUGCAGGAUGACGGCGCUAUGCGUUGUAAACUGCUUUUCUGCUCCAAGAACCCCCCGAUCGUGAUCGGGGUUGACGGUAGAGCAGGAAUAAGCAUCGGCUAACUCCGUGCCAGCAGCCGCGGUAAUACGGAGGAUGCAAGCGUUAUCCGGAUUUAUUGGGGUUUAACAGGGGUGGGCGUAGGCGUGGAUAAUAAGUCAGUGGUGAAAUCCUGCGGCUUAACCGUAGAAUUGUCAUUGAUACUGUUAUUCUUGAGUUCAGUUGAGGUGGGCCGGAAUGUAUAAUGUAGCGGUGAAAUGCUUAGAUAUUAUACAGAACACCGAUUGCGAAGGCAGCUCACUAAGCUGAUACUGACGCUGAGGCACGAAAGCGUGGGGAGCGAACAGGAUUAGAUACCCUGGUAGUCCACGCUGUAAACGAUGAUCACUCGCUGUUGGCAAUACAUCGUCAGCGGCUGAGCGAAAGCAUUAAGUGAUCCACCUGGGGAGUACGUCGGCAACGAUGAAACUCAAAGGAAUUGACGGGGGCCCGCACAAGCGGUGGAACAUGUGGUUUAAUUCGAUGAUACGCGAGGAACCUUACCUGGGCUUAAAUGCAGAACGACGGUUCCCGAAAGGGAUCCUUCUUCGGACGGACUGCAAGGUGCUGCAUGGUUGUCGUCAGCUCGUGCCGUGAGGUGUCGGGUUAAGUCCCAUAACGAGCGCAACCCCUAUUGUUAGUUGCCAGCGAGUAAUGUCGGGGACUCUAACGAAACUGCCGGUGUAAACCGAGAGGAAGGUGGGGAUGACGUCAAAUCAGCACGGCCCUUAUGUCCAGGGCUACACACGUGUUACAAUGGACGAUACAGAGGGAAGCUACUUGGCGACAAGAUGCUAAUCUCGAAAAUCGUUCUUAGUUCGGAUUGGAGUCUGCAACUCGACUUCAUGAAGCUGGAAUCGCUAGUAAUCGCACAUCAGCCAUGGUGCGGUGAAUACGUUCCCGGGCCUUGUACACACCGCCCGUCAAGCCAUGGAAGCCGGGGGUACCUAAAGUCCGUAAC
RNAcentral lists this ribosomal RNA (1153 nucleotides) under uncultured organism. Its description in RNAcentral is "bacterial SSU rRNA". It matches the Rfam family "Bacterial small subunit ribosomal RNA", at positions 285 to 1434 of the family's 1533-position model. The record is from RNAcentral.